Molecule: ribosomal RNA, 467 nt
Filed under: uncultured bacterium
Lineage: Bacteria
Description: partial 16S ribosomal RNA
Rfam family: Bacterial small subunit ribosomal RNA
Source: RNAcentral
GACGAACGCUGGCGGCGUGCUUAACACAUGCAAGUCGAACGGAAAGGCCCUGCUUUUGUGGGGUGCUCGAGUGGCGAACGGGUGAGUAACACGUGAGUAACCUGCCCUUGACUUUGGGAUAACUUCAGGAAACUGGGGCUAAUACCGGAUAGGAGCUCCUGCUGCAUGGUGGGGGUUGGAAAGUUUCGGCGGUUGGGGAUGGACUCGCGGCUUAUCAGCUUGUUGGUGGGGUAGUGGCUUACCAAGGCUUUGACGGGUAGCCGGCCUGAGAGGGUGACCGGCCACAUUGGGACUGAGAUACGGCCCAGACUCCUACGGGAGGCAGCAGUGGGGAAUAUUGCACAAUGGGCGGAAGCCUGAUGCAGCAACGCCGCGUGCGGGAUGACGGCCUUCGGGUGGGAAACCGCUUUCGCCUGUGACGAAGCGUGAGUGACGGUAAUGGGUAAAGAAGCACCGGCUAACUACGU